UAUAUGAAAUCCAGCAUAUAUAUCUUGUUUGCUGUGUCAUAAAAUAAUAAUAAUAAUAAUAAUAAUAAUAAUAAUAAUAAUAAUAAUAAUAAUAAUAAUGUUGUGACUCAGCCUUUGUGUGACUCUGAUGAGGAUUCUGGGAUGCAGUUUCAAGAUGAUGGGAUUCAGGUUCAGGAUGAGUUUCAAGAUAACUCUGAUGGGAAUUAUGGGAUUCAGGUGCAGAAUGUUCCUGCUGUGGGAGAUGAGGAGCAGGGAGGCUUUCCCAUGGGAAGAAAUGAUGUUGUUACUGAUGAUGGUUUUCAGGUGCAGAGUUUUCCUGCUGUGGAAGAUGAGGAGCAGGGAGGCUUUCCCACGGGAAGAAAUGAUGUUGUUACUGAUGAUGGUUUUCAGGUGCAAGGAGCAAAUAAGAGGGAGGGCAAAAGGCAAAGAAAUGCCUUCAUGUUAUGCUAUUAAAACAGUCUGCUGAGAGGGAAAUCUUCGUCAAAGCAAUUUCCUCACUUGAAUCAAGAACCAAGUCUGCUUUCCUGUAUUAUCCUGUAGCCUGGAUGUAUUCUUGUUUCUGGGACUUUGGCUUCUUUUGAAAGGACCUUGUUUCAUGCCUAAUGUUUCUAUGGAUUUGUUUCUUACAGCCUUGUUUUUGUAACUACCUUUUGGAACUGAACUUUUACCUUUUAUGAACUAUCUUUUCCCUAUUUCCUAAUAAAUUACAAAAGCUAACCUGAGGUGCGACACUUUUAGAGCUUUUUCCAAGAUAUGGAUCAAUAUUUGGAGUUGACUUAUCACAUUGCUGAAAUGGGACAGUUGACAGGGCUCCCAGGUAAGGUGAGAUACUGGAAAUCUCAGCAGUCAUACUUCACGGUAUGACUGACAUUGUACUAAAUCCCAGAGGGUUUGGAGUUGCUUUUAUGGAGCUCUCUAAGGUGCAGUUUGAGCCUCAGCUUGAGCACCUUGGAGAGCUUCUUCCAAGAUAUGGGUAAAUACUUGGAUGUAUCAUAUUGCUGAAAUGGGAUAGCUGACAGGGCUCCCAUUUAAGAUGAGAUACUGGAAACUUCAGCAUCCAUAUCUAGCAGCAUAACUCUCACCAAUGUUUGGAUUACAUCCCUGAAGGCUAAGGAGUUCUCCAAGGUGCUGCAUUGUUUUGAGCUUCAGCACCUUGGAGAGCGCUUUCCAAGAUAUGGGUGAAUACUUGGAGUAGACUCCGAAGGCUUUCAUGGCCGGGAUCUGUUAAAGUGAGAAUGAUUGUAUAUAGAGUGUUUAAAUGUAAUUGAGUCAUGGUUGUGCAAUGUGUGCUGGAGAUUGCAUCAUACACUGUGUGCUGCUUACUAUGCCGGUGUGUAAAGGGUUAAACUUGGAUUGCAUCAGACAGCAGAGGAUGAGAUAAAUAGCCCUCUACUUCCUAUCUCUCUCUCUCUGUCUCUUCCCGUGUGUACCUGCGUGAGAGCUGUGUAUCGUCUUGUGAGAUUUCCGUUCGUAAGUAAACUUUUGAUAGAUAACUGAAGACUGCAGCAUCGUUAUUUAUCCAGAGCUUCCUCGUCAGCGACUUCUGCUGUGUGUGUGCCUAGCAAACCACUCUGAUAUUGGGUUUUGGGCCCAGAUUCUGGCCCAGAUUCCUACCCAGUAUACCCAGUAUACCCAGUAUACCUAGGUUCCUGCCCAGAUUCUUGCCUAGGUUCCAGACCAGUUUGCCCAGUCUGACCAGUCUGCCUAGAGUGAACAGGAUCUUCAGGUGGAACCAGAGAUCCGGGAGCUGAGAGGAGAGCCGGAGCUGUGUGCUGCGAGAAGCCGUGCUUAGACUGCUGAGGGGGAAAGUUCGUCUUCGGAGGAAGCAAACUUUUCCUGGAGCAGAGAAAGCAGAGAUUAGCAGCAGGACGUGCUGAACCUCGGAGAGAUUUAUGAGCCAAGGUGCGAAGGAGAAGCCAUAAAGAGUGCCGUAAAUUCCUGUGGUGGAGGGGACUGCUGGGCUGUGCUGAGCAUGUGUUUUAUCAGCUGCUGAAGGCUUUAACUCGGGGAAUCGAGUUAUUGUUGUAUGUUUGUAUGUACAGGGUUGUUGUAUGUUUUCUGGGCUGUAUGGCCAUGGUUCUAGGAAGUAUUGGUCCUCCUGAUGUUUCGCC
RNAcentral lists this long non-coding RNA (2111 nucleotides) under Anolis carolinensis (green anole). RNAcentral describes it as "lncRNA (ENSACAG00000036650.1)". The record is from RNAcentral. Lineage: Eukaryota; Metazoa; Chordata; Lepidosauria; Squamata; Anolidae.